RNAcentral lists this ribosomal RNA (386 nucleotides) under uncultured bacterium. RNAcentral describes it as "partial 16S ribosomal RNA". It matches the Rfam family "Bacterial small subunit ribosomal RNA", at positions 523 to 918 of the family's 1533-position model. The record is from RNAcentral.
AUACGUAGGGGGCGAGCGUUAUCCGGAUUUAUUGGGCGUAAAGCGUGUGUAGGCGGUUUGUUAAGUUUAAGAUUAAAGCCCGAGGCUUAACCUCGGUUCGUCUUAAAAACUGGCAGACUUGAGUGCAGUAGAGGCAAGUGGAAUUUCUAGUGUAGCGGUUAAAUGCGUAGAUAUUAGAAGGAAAACCAGUGGCGAAGGGGGCUUGCUGGGCUGUUACUGCCCCUGAGUCGCGAAAGCGUGGGGAGCAAAGAGGAUUAGAUCCCCUAGUAGUCCACGCCGUAACCGAUGAGUACUAAGUGUCGGGUAACCGGUGCUGAAGUUAACACAUUAAGUACUCCGCCUGAGUAGUACGGUCGCAAGGCUGAAACUCAAAUGAAUUGACGGGG